Long non-coding RNA from Thalassophryne amazonica, 136 nucleotides. RefSeq lists it as uncharacterized. The record is from RefSeq and is a predicted model, not a curated record. NCBI's taxonomy places the organism in Eukaryota, Metazoa, Chordata, Actinopteri, Batrachoidiformes, Batrachoididae. The transcript has 3 exons.
AGCCACUUCUAACAGGACUUUGACCUUGAAAUUUUUUUCCAAGGUAAAAAUUUGUGGAAUUGGAAACUAGUGUUGAAGGAGGUUUGCGCUCCACGAGCGCAGUACUCUAGUUUUGUAUUUCAUCCACCUUGGAUUG